GAUGAACGCUAGCGGGAGGCCUAACACAUGCAAGCCGAGCGGUAUGGAUAGCUUGCUAUCCAGAGAGCGGCGUACGGGUGCGUAACACGUGUGCAACCUACCUUUAUCUGUGGGAUAGCCUUUCGAAAGGAAGAUUAAUACCCCAUAAUAUAAUGAUUGGCAUCAAUUAUUAUUGAAAACUCCGGUGGAUAGAGAUGGGCACGCGCAAGAUUAGAUAGUUGGUGAGGUAACGGCUCACCAAGUCAAUGAUCUUUAGGGGUCCUGAGAGGGAGAUCCCCCACACUGGUACUGAGACACGGACCAGACUCGUACGGGAGGCAGCAGUGAGGAAUAUUGGACAAUGGGGGAGAGCCUGAUCCAGCCAUCCCGCGUGAAGGAGGACGGUCAUAUGGAUUGUAAACUUCUUGUGUACAGGGAUAAACCUACCCACGUGAGGGUAGCUGAAGGUACUGUAUGAAUAAGCACCGGCUAACUCCGUG
RNAcentral lists this ribosomal RNA (479 nucleotides) under uncultured bacterium. Its description in RNAcentral is "partial 16S ribosomal RNA". It matches the Rfam family "Bacterial small subunit ribosomal RNA", at positions 28 to 507 of the family's 1533-position model. The record is from RNAcentral.